UGGGGAAUAUUGGACAAUGGGCGGAAGCCUGAUCCAGCAACGCCGCGUGAGGGAUGACGGCCUUCGGGUUGUAAACCUCUUUCAGCACAGACGAAGCGCAAGUGACGGUAUGUGCAGAAGAAGGACCGGCCAACUACGUGCCAGCAGCCGCGGUAAUACGUAGGGUCCGAGCGUUGUCCGGAAUUAUUGGGCGUAAAGGGCUCGUAGGCGGUUUGUCGCGUCGGGAGUGAAAACACCGGGCUUAACUCGGUGCUUGCUUUCGAUACGGGCAGACUAGAGGCAUUCAGGGGAGAACGGAAUUCCUGGUGUAGCGGUGAAAUGCGCAGAUACCAGGAGGAACACCGGUGGCGAAGGCGGUUCUCUGGGAAUGUCCUGACGCUGAGGAGCGAAAGUGUGGGGAGCGAACAGGAUUAGAUACCCUGGUAGUCCACACCGUAAACGUUGGGCGCUAGGUUGGGAUCCAUUCCACGGGUUCCGUGCCGCAGCUAACGCAUUAAGCGCCCCGCCUGGGGA
Molecule: ribosomal RNA, 513 nt
Filed under: uncultured bacterium
Lineage: Bacteria
Description: partial 16S ribosomal RNA
Rfam family: Bacterial small subunit ribosomal RNA
Source: RNAcentral